ACAAAGCGCCAGCUGAGGGGUCGCUGCGGGCCGAGCGCCGCUGAGCCUGCCCGCCACCCAGCUUCACCCGCCGGCCGCCGUGCCUCUGCUGAGUCCCCGCGCCCCAAGCGCGCCCGGGCAGGGAAGGCAGGGCCGGGCGGGCGCCGCCUGCGGAGAGGCCAGGGGCCGGCCUGCGUGGGACCGCGCGGCGGCGGCGGCAGCGACUCCGGCGACUCCGGGCCGGGCCGGACACAGCGCAGGGCCAUGGCCGAGGCGGCCCCGGCUCCGACUUCUGAAUGGGACUCUGAAUGCCUUACAUCCCUGCAGCCCCUUCCUCUUCCCACGCCGCCAGCAGCAAAUGAGGCGCACCUGCAGACUGCAGCCAUCUCCUUGUGGACCGUGGUGGCAGCCGUGCAGGCGAUAGAGAGGAAGGUGGAGGUCCACAGCCGGCGACUCCUACACCUAGAAGGACGGACGGGGACAGCAGAGAAGAAGCUAGCCAGCUGUGAAAAGACAGUGGCUGAUCUUGGGAACCAGCUGGAGGGCAAGUGGGCCGUGCUGGGGACCCUGCUGCAGGAGUACGGGCUGCUGCAGAGGCGACUGGAGAACUUGGAGAACCUGCUGAGGAACAGGAACUUCUGGAUCCUGCGGCUGCCCCCGGGCAUUAAAGGAGAUCUCCCAAAGGUGCCUGUGACAUUUGAUGAUAUCUCCAUCUACUUUUCCACUCCGGAGUGGGAAAAAUUAGAAGAAUGGCAAAAGGAACUUUACAAGAAUAUCAUGAAGGGCAACUACGAGUCUCUCAUCUCCAUGGAUUAUGCCAUGAAUCAACCUGAUGUCUUAUCUCAGAUUCAGCCGGAAGGAGAACAUAAUACAGAGGAGCAGGCAGGACCAGAGGAAAGUGAGAUUCCCACAGACCCCAGUGAAGAGCCUGGAAUUUCAACAUCAGAUAUUCUGUCUUGGAUCAAACAAGAGGAAGAGCCCCAGGUUGGGGCCCCACAGGAGACCAAGGAGAGCGACAUGCACAAGGGUGCCUAUGCUGAUGAAGAGCUUGUCAUCAAAGCCGAAAGCCUUGCCAGAGCCUCUUUGUGCCCAGAGGUUCCAGUCACCUUCUCUUCUCCACCACCUGUGGCAAAGGAUACUUUUUCAGAUGUGGCUUUCAAAAGCCAGCCGUCCGCAUCCAUGGCGCCUUUUGGACGUUCAGCCACUGACCUGGCCGAAGCCUCUGAGGGCCAAGUGACUUUUACUCAGUUGGGUAGCUACCCCCUGCCACCUCCAGCCGGGGAGCAGAUGUUCUCAUGCCACCACUGUGGCAAGAGCCUCAGCCAGGACAUGUUGCUGACCCACCAGUGUAGCCACACAGGUGAGCCCCCCUUAUCCUGUGCCCAGUGCCCGAAGCACUUUCCCCAGCAGGCCGACCUCAGCAGCAGCUCCCAGCCCCAUGCUAGCGAGACACCCCCCACCUGCCCACACUGCGCCAGAACUUUCACGCACCCGUCAAGACUCACCUACCACCUCCGGGUCCACAACAGCACCGAGCGCCCCUUCCCCUGCCCCGACUGCCCCAAGCGCUUCGCCGACCAGGCCCGACUCACCAGCCACCGGCGGGCUCACGCGAGCGAGAGGCCCUUCCGCUGCGCGCAGUGCGGCCGCAGCUUCAGCCUGAAAAUCAGCCUUCUGCUCCACCAGCGGGGGCACGCGCAGGAGCGGCCUUUCUCCUGCCCCCAGUGCGGCAUUGACUUCAAUGGCCACUCGGCCCUGAUUCGCCACCAGAUGAUCCACACGGGCGAGCGCCCGUACCCGUGCACUGACUGCAGUAAGAGCUUCAUGCGCAAGGAGCACCUGCUCAACCACCGGCGGCUGCACACGGGCGAGCGGCCGUUCAGCUGCGCUCACUGCGGCAAGAGCUUCAUCCGCAAGCACCACCUCAUGAAGCACCAGCGCAUCCACACGGGCGAGCGGCCCUACCCCUGCGCCUACUGCGGCCGAAGCUUCCGCUACAAGCAGACGCUCAAGGACCACCUGCGGUCGGGCCACAGUGGAGGCUGCGGGGGCGACGGUGACCCAUCCGGACAGCCGCCUGACCCCCCGGGGCCCCUCCUCCCUGGGCUCGAGACCUCUGGCCUAGCCGUUAACACCGAAGGGCUAGAGGCCAGUCAGUGGUAUGGGGAAGGGAGCGGAGGGGGGGUUUUGUAAACCUCGCUCCUUUCAUGGUUAUCUACAUUCUCUGGUUACCUAUGCCCGCGAGCCCCUCCACCCCCCUGCGGUAAUCGCUAUGUGGCCCGGCGAUGAAUUUGGGAUCUUAGACACUUGACUAGAGACAUUGCUGGAAUUUUGGAACUUCAUAACAUCACAAGAACACGACAUUUUGAAACCCAGAGAGACCUGGAAGGAAGCCCAGCAUCCCGAUCUUUACAAAAGUUUUACCUGAGCAGAAGUUAUAUAAGAAGGUUGCAGAGAGGACCAAUCAACCACUGAAGAAGGCAGAUCGAUACAGCCCAGUCAGAGAAGCCUCAAAAGCAGUGUGCUGCCACGCUCUCAAACAUUGCCAGGUACAUUUAAAAUAUUUGAUAAAAAUCUCAUUGAGCUGUGUGGCUUUGUGUUUAUCAGCAAAGCCAGUAUUUACUGUAAAAUCUUGAAACCAGUCCAAAAAAGUAAGCUACCCAAGAACAGAGGCCAUGUCUUGUUUUGUAUCCCUCAUGGGCCCGGUGCUGGAGGGACGUGGGUGCUCAGUGCAUGAUCGCACAGUGGGAAGACCACUGGAGUAGGGGCGAAGAGCUGGAUUCCGGUCCUAGCCGCGCACUGUCUACCUACUUGAUAUGGAGCAAGCCACUGAAUUUGUGUAGAUCUCAUUUUCCUAAUUCCGAUAGAACACGAUGGUAAUAUCAAAUCCCUUCCUGCUCUAAAAUUCUGGAAUUUAAGAAUUUAUGUCUGGGUCCUGUUUUCCUUGCCUGGUUUCUCCCCACAUUCUGCCCUAUUGAGAGAUUGCUUUGACACAGCAGAAUAAACACCUUGGAGAGGUAUGCAUUUUUAGAAUCUCAUCCUAACCAUAUUAUCGUUACUCCAAAGCCACACAAACUGACAGAGUUUUAGCAAAACUAUAAAAUGUUUUAAAUAUGCACUAUGCAUUUCAUUGCAUUUUUUUAAAGCAUAGGAAAAUAAAAAGACCUACCAAAAUAAUAAUGAUGGUUCUAGGGUACUGGGGUCAUUCAGUGGUUAUUUUUCCCUUGUGUUUAUAAUAUAAAAUAUUUUAUAUACAGCAUUUAUAAUACUUUAUAAGAAUAAGGAUUAUUGGAAUGGAAAAGUUCUUGGAAAGGACUCAGGAGGCCAGAGUUUUUUAAUCUUGCUUCAAUUUUCUCGUUCCUAGCAUGAGGAUAAUACCCACUUGACCAACUUUACAUAGGCAUUGGGACGCUCAAAUGAGGAGAGGUCUUCAGAAGUGCUUUGAAACGUAUCGCAGGCCUGUGAAAGUGUUGACAUAGUCAACGCAGAAUUGUUGACCGGUUCAACAAUUUCCUGGAUGUUGUUGGUGCUUCUCUUCAUUCAAGACUGGGCAGUGGUCCUUCCUUCGCUUCUAGUUUGCUUGCCUGGGCUGGGGAGAAGCUAGCCCUAGAUUACCAUUUGGGGAGGGAUAGGAAAACAGCAGUAUGUGUGAGCGGAGAUCGAAAACAAAGUGCUGCCGGAAGUGUCAGGUCGACCUAUUUAACGCGUUGUCUUCUACCAACAACUUAUUAUGCAAGAUAACCAGUUUUAUGUACCUGCGGAAUUAUAACAAGUUAAGAAGGCAGGCAUGUUACUGGAGAGAUUGGGUUAAGCAAGUAGAAAGUACAGAAAGCAGUGUGUGUGUGUGUAUAUAUAUACAUAUAUGUCAGUUCUUGGCUUUGAAUUAUAGUUUUAAAAAAAUUGUGUAAGAGAAACAAUAUCUACAAGCCAACCUCACUGAGUAAACAGCAAGAUAAAAACAAUGCACAAUUAUUAAAUCAAUCCUAUAUUUAACAGCCACUAAGUAAUUAUUCAGGAUGUUCAUUUCUGCAUGGCGAUCCCGUGAGGCUGGGACAAGCACAUGGGGAGGGUUCUUGGCUGAACAUUAGAAUCACUUGGGGAACUUAAAGAAAAGUAUUUAUGCCAGGGCCCACCCUGGCAUGAUCUAAUUUGCCUGGGGCGGAGCCUGGGCAUUUUGUUUUUUUUAAGUUCCCCCAUGUGAUUCUAAUGGGCCUGCAAGUUUAGAAGAUCAGAGAAUGAGAAAGUGAGUUAUUGGCCUGGAAGUGACCAGUUAGCCUGCUUUACUGGAGCAAGGGGCUGUGGACUGGAGAUUAAUAAAAGGCAGAUGAAUCCACAAUGGGACGUCAUAAUUUAGUAGGAAAUAAAGCUAUGAGAAUUGCUGUUGAAAAAGUUCUGACUGAUCUCCGUAGUUAAGUUAGGACCUCUAGAGGCUGUGGGAAAAGCAGCAUUCAGUUCAGCUGUGCCCACUGCAGGCACUGUCCAGAGACCUGGUCCAUGAAACACGGGCAGGAUCCUGGAUGCGCACAGACGGGAGCCGUACAGAUGCCUGUGCUGUACCCUGACUUCUAUUGUAGUGACGCUAGCAGUUUGCUGAAGAAUGAAGAGGGACCGUGGUGAUGUCAUUACCAGCUUGGAUUUAACAAUAACAUGGGGUUUCACACCCUAUUUGUUGCAUUUAGAAAAACCAGUAUUAUUCUGUAUGCGCUCUGGACUUCAUUUUGAAUGAAUUUUGGCCAUUUUUAGUAAUCAAAUCCACACUUAAAAAUCGAAGGGAUACCCAUUGAGAAGAUUUGAGGGAUCAUAGUGCAAUUGUUAAUUCCCAACACAAAACCUGUCUGCACAUACAGGGUUUCUAAGCCCCAGGUACCCAUUGCGGUAGAACUCUUGAGUAGCUAACUCGCUUAGUCACUCAAGCAAUUACAUGUUUGUUAAGAUUGAGCAAAGUACCACACAGUCAUUAAGAACUGAAGAAAAGCCAACUAACUUCACUUGUCUGCUGUGUCAAGACUUGUAAAAAAGGUGAUGAAAUGCCUAUUAAAGUAGGCUGAGAAUAAACUCAGGAGGGAAAAAGUAGUAUUUUCUCUAAACUCUCUGAAAAGCAGGAAUUUUCAGAAGUUAGUGGGAAAGAAGGAAAAUGUACGUGUGCGGGUGCGUAUGUACAUGCACAUGCACACUUAAGUUUGAAUAAAAAUGUUGGCAAAAAGUGGAUCUGAAAAGGCAAGCAUGUUGAAAACUCAUUAGCAAGAGCAAACUGACCUAAAAACUGUGUGAUA
Zalophus californianus (California sea lion) is the source of this 5252-nucleotide RNA transcript. It is a transcript of the gene named zinc finger protein 398, with no coding region annotated. The record is from RefSeq and is a predicted model, not a curated record. Lineage: Eukaryota; Metazoa; Chordata; Mammalia; Carnivora; Otariidae. The transcript is spliced from 7 exons.